RNAcentral lists this ribosomal RNA (253 nucleotides) under uncultured bacterium. Its description in RNAcentral is "partial 16S ribosomal RNA". It matches the Rfam family "Bacterial small subunit ribosomal RNA", at positions 524 to 776 of the family's 1533-position model. The record is from RNAcentral.
UACGGAGGGGGCUAGCGUUGUUCGGAAUUACUGGGCGUAAAGCGCACGUAGGCGGCUUUGUAAGUUAGAGGUGAAAGCCCGGGGCUCAACUCCGGAAUUGCCUUUAAGACUGCAUCGCUAGAAUUGUGGAGAGGUAAGUGGAAUUCCGAGUGUAGAGGUGAAAUUCGUAGAUAUUCGGAGGAACACCGAUGGCGAAGGCAAUCCCCUGGGCCUGUACUGACGCUCAUGCACGAAAGCGUGGGGAGCAAACAGG